RNAcentral lists this ribosomal RNA (538 nucleotides) under Salmonella enterica subsp. enterica serovar Virchow. RNAcentral describes it as "partial 23S ribosomal RNA". It matches the Rfam family "Bacterial large subunit ribosomal RNA", at positions 654 to 1190 of the family's 2925-position model. The record is from RNAcentral. Lineage: Bacteria; Pseudomonadati; Pseudomonadota; Gammaproteobacteria; Enterobacterales; Enterobacteriaceae. RNAcentral also lists the same sequence under 1 other name.
CGAAUAGGGGAGCCGGAGGGAAACCGAGUCUUAAUUGGGCGUUAAGUUGCAGGGUAUAGACCCGAAACCCGGUGAUCUAGCCAUGGGCAGGUUGAAGGUUGGGUAACACUAACUGGAGGACCGAACCGACUAAUGUUGAAAAAUUAGCGGAUGACCUGUGGCUGGGGGUGAAAGGCCAAUCAAACCGGGAGAUAGCUGGUUCUCCCCGAAAGCUAUUUAGGUAGCGCCUCGUGAAUUCAUCUCCGGGGGUAGAGCACUGUUUCGGCUAGGGGGCCAUCCCGGCUUACCAACCCGAUGCAAACUGCGAAUACCGGAGAAUGUUAUCACGGGAGACACACGGCGGGUGCUAACGUCCGUCGUGAAGAGGGAAACAACCCAGACCGCCAGCUAAGGUCCCAAAGUCAUGGUUAAGUGGGAAACGAUGUGGGAAGGCCCAGACAGCCAGGAUGUUGGCUUAGAAGCAGCCAUCAUUUAAAGAAAGCGUAAUAGCUCACUGGUCGAGUCGGCCUGCGCGGAAGAUGUAACGGGGCUAAACCAU